CACGUAGGCACCAAGCGUUGUCCGGAUUUAUUGGGCGUAAAGAGCUCGUAGGCGGUUCAGUAAGUCGGGUGUGAAAACUUUGGGCUUAACCCAAAGCGUGCAUCCGAUACUGCUGUGACUUGAGUUCGGUAGGGGAGUGGGGGAAUUCCUAGUGUAGCGGUGAAAUGCGCAGAUAUUAGGAGGAACACCGGUGGCGAAGGCGCCACUCUGGGCCGUACCUGACACUGAGGCGCGAUAGCAUGGGGGAGCAAACAGGGAU
Molecule: ribosomal RNA, 259 nt
Filed under: uncultured bacterium
Lineage: Bacteria
Description: partial 16S ribosomal RNA
Rfam family: Bacterial small subunit ribosomal RNA
Source: RNAcentral